This 437-nucleotide ribosomal RNA is filed under the name Panesthia transversa. Its description in RNAcentral is "partial 12S rRNA". Lineage: Eukaryota; Metazoa; Arthropoda; Insecta; Blattodea; Blaberidae. The record is from RNAcentral.
UACUAUGUUACGACUUAUCUCAUCUUAAAUAACGAGAGCGACGGGCGAUGUGUGCACAUUCUAGAGCUAUUAUCACAAAAAUAAUUCUUAUUAUUAAUUACUAUUAAAUCCUCCUUCAUAAAACCUUUACAAAAAAUAAUCCGUUUAUUUUACAAAUAUUGUAAUCCAUCUCCACUUAAAUAUUAACUGCACCUUGACCUGAAAUUAAACUAAAUAAAAUAUAAAGAAUAUUUUACCCUAAAAAGAUAUUCAAUAAACGGCGGUAUACAUACUAAAUUAAAUUAAGUUAGGUUCAACGCGGAUUAUCGAUAACGGGACAGAUUCCUCUAACUAGACUAAAAUACCGCCAAAUUCUUUAAGUUUCAAGACCUUAACUAAUACUACUCAAAUUUAUAAUAAUUUUACAUCCAAAAUAAUAGGGUAUCUAAUCCUAGUUU